This 207-nucleotide ribosomal RNA is filed under the name uncultured bacterium. Its description in RNAcentral is "partial 16S ribosomal RNA". It matches the Rfam family "Bacterial small subunit ribosomal RNA", at positions 568 to 774 of the family's 1533-position model. The record is from RNAcentral.
CUCGUAGGCGGUCCGUCGCGUCGGAAGUGAAAACCUGGGGCUCAACUCCAGGCCUGCUUUCGAUACGGGCAGACUUGAGUGCGGUAGGGGAGACUGGAACUCCUGGUGUAGCGGUGGAAUGCGCAGAUAUCAGGAAGAACACCGAUGGCGAAGGCAGGUCCCUGGGCCGUUACUGACGCUGAGGAGCGAAAGCAUGGGGAGCGAACA